UACGUAGGGUGCGAGCGUUAAUCGGAAUUACUGGGCGUAAAGCGCACGUAGAUGGCUUCGUAAGUCGGAUGUGAAAUCCCCGGGCUCAACCUGGGAACUGCAUUCGAAACUGCAUUGCUAGAGUGUGGAAGAGGGAAGCGGAAUUCCAGGUGUAGCGGUGAAAUGCGUAGAUAUCUGGAGGAACAUCAGUGGCGAAGGCGGCUUCCUGGUCCAACACUGACAUUCAGGUGCGAAAGCGUGGGGAUCAAACAGG
RNAcentral lists this ribosomal RNA (253 nucleotides) under uncultured bacterium. RNAcentral describes it as "partial 16S ribosomal RNA". It matches the Rfam family "Bacterial small subunit ribosomal RNA", at positions 524 to 776 of the family's 1533-position model. The record is from RNAcentral.